Molecule: ribosomal RNA, 447 nt
Filed under: uncultured bacterium
Lineage: Bacteria
Description: bacterial SSU rRNA
Rfam family: Bacterial small subunit ribosomal RNA
Source: RNAcentral
UCGGGAAUUUUGGGCAAUGGGGGAAACCCUGACCCAGCAACGCCGCGUGAAGGAUGAAGUAUUUCGGUAUGUAAACUUCGAAAGAAUAGGAAGAAUAAAUGACGGUACUAUUUAUAAGGUCCGGCUAACUACGUGCCAGCAGCCGCGGUAAUACGUAGGGACCAAGCGUUGUUCGGAUUUACUGGGCGUAAAGGGCGCGUAGGCGGCAUGACAAGUCACUUGUGAAAUCUCUGGGCUUAACCCAGAACGGCCAAGUGAUACUGUCGCGCUAGAGUGCAGAAGGGGCAAUCGGAAUUCUUGGUGUAGCGGUGAAAUGCGUAGAUAUCAAGAGGAACACCUGAGGUGAAGACGGGUUGCUGGGCUGACACUGACGCUAAAGCGCGAAAGCCAGGGGAGCAAACGGGAUUAGAUACCCACGUAGUCCCUGAGCGGGCUGGCAAGGCGCAU